GUCCACGCCCUAACGAUGGGUACUAGACGUUGGGAGGUUUAUCCUCUUGGUGUCGCAGCUAACGCAAUAAGUACCCCGCCUGGGGAGUACGGUCGCAAGAUUAAAACUCAAAGGAAUUGACGGGCCCGCACAAGCGGUGGAGCAUGUGGUUUAAUUCGAUGCAACGCGAAAACCUUACCUGCCCUUGACAUCUAGAGAACCCUGCAGAGAUGCGGGGUGCCUUCGGGGAACUCUAAGACAGGUGCUGCAUGGCUGUCGU
Molecule: ribosomal RNA, 259 nt
Filed under: uncultured bacterium
Lineage: Bacteria
Description: partial 16S ribosomal RNA
Rfam family: Bacterial small subunit ribosomal RNA
Source: RNAcentral